Molecule: long non-coding RNA, 2125 nt
Filed under: Nicotiana benthamiana
Lineage: Eukaryota; Viridiplantae; Streptophyta; Magnoliopsida; Solanales; Solanaceae
Description: long non-coding RNA (NBEN_LNC041728)
Source: RNAcentral
UUAACAAAAGGCCGCCCUAUAAUCCCUCAUCCUCUGUCUCUGAGACCUAAACCAAACAUUAGCCACUGUCACCCAAAACUAAUCAUAUUCCUUCCGAUUCUCACUCGGCCCAUGGAUUUCCAUGGCAGUUUGAAGCUCCUACUGAUCUUCUACAUCUCAUGGUUUACUCAUUCUUAAGCUUUCUUGGAAAAAUCUUGAAGAGAUCUUACCAGAUCUGGUUCAAGACUCUCUAGGAGUUCAUCUAAUGUUGUGAGUGUUACUAAUCUGAUGCUUUUAUGGUUCAUAUAUCUUUUCUGAGACUCCAUUGUCUUUACCUUUUCAUUCUUUCUUCAAAAUCCUUUCAAAUAUGAACCCAUCAAAAUAUUUGUAGAUCUAGAAAGUUUCUGAGUUCGUCGUCGAUUUUCCUUGAAAGAGUUCCUUGUUUCUUCACUAUUAGUCAAUUUUCGGCGCCAUGUUAGGUUUGAUUUCUUUAUUAUCUGUUGUUCGAUCUUCUGCAUAUUUGAAGUGUUUUCAAUUUCCCAUGGUUUUUCUAUGAGGUUCUUUUACUUUUAUACUAUUAACUGAUUUUUAGCACUACACUACUUUAGGUGUUUGAUUUCUUUUAUUUAUGUUGUUUAAAUCUCUGUAUGUUUGAAGUGCUUUUUGUUUCCAUGGCUAUUUUUUAAAUUUCUCCUAAUCUUCCUUCUACUAAUCAACCCUAAUAAUCUUUCUAAUUUUCUGGGGUUUCCACUUCCCUUUUUGCAAAAGGUUUUCUAAAGUUUUUAUGUUUCGUUUCAUUUUUCUUGCAUGGUUAUAUUUUUGGUCUAAUUUUUUGACUAUUCAGUGCUUGAUUUCAACCACUUUUCUAUUAUUUUUUCAAUAAUUGAAUGAUUAGUCUAAUUAUCUAGGGUUUAUUUGUUUACUAAACUAAUUUACUGAUCUUUAAUUGUUUUCCUUAAUCCUGAAUGUUUUAAUUGACAUCUCUUGUCUGUCUAUGGGUUGAUUAACCCUUCGAUUGGUCUCUAAUUACCCGUGUUGACUCAUUCUACCUUAGACAAGGGAUAAUAGUUCACACACAUAAAAAACCUUUUUCUUAUCUCUCUGCUACUUGUGAUAACUACUGGACUAGCCAGCUGAAAGCCAAGGCUAGACUAUUGAAUCCUGCUUGCUUUACCUUCUGUUUCUGCUUCCUUAACAGGUAUGCCUCUACCAUUUUCAUUCAAUUAAAAUAUGUGUAUAUCAACAUGCUACUUCUGCAUAAAUUUAUGUGAUUGUCAGCAUGUUACUGCUGUUUAAAUUUGUGUAUUUAUCAGCAUGCUACUUCUGUUUAAAUUUGUUUGUUUAUCACCAUGUUACUUCUGUUUAAAUUUUUGUGUUUAUCAACUUACUUACUUCUUUUCAAUCCAUGCGUUGGGUAGCAUGACUACUUCUACCCAAUCUAUGUGUCUACUUCUGCUCAAAACUAUGUAGUCAAUAGCAUAUCUAACUAUGCGUUUCCUAUUAUGUCUAUUAAUGUUCAACCUAUGUGUUUAUGUUUACUCCUUUUUAAUACAUGUGUUUACUACCAUAGCAUGUUGACUUCUAUUUUAAUUAAAACUAGGGGUUCUCCUUUCAUCAAGUUUGCAUGUUUACUUAUGUCUAAAAUUAGAUCUAUGUCUUGUCUACUUCCCCGCUAGCAUGAUUUCCUAUCUGGAUACCUUGUUCCCAAUCCUUGUUACCCUUUUCAUGUGGAUGUUUUAUCUGCCUUACUUCAUUGUUAGGUCACUGGUUACAGCUAAUAAGCUUAAGUAAUCCUAUUUUUGAAUGUUGUUUGUUUGGCUAGAACCUUUGCAUGGGUUCCAGGACUGAAUGAUUCUGUUUACUUCUGAUUUUCCUGAAAGUCUGAAACUAUUUUCUCAAAACUAUUCUUGCAAAUCUAUCACUUCAACUCUUAGAACAUCUAGGGUCCUGCCCCUCUAGUGUGAGCAUUACUUUUGAGUCUAUGAGGCUCUUCUAAACUUUAACAUAUUGGGGAUGGUUAUUCCAUACUACACAAGUUGUUGAUCUUUAAAGAAGGACAUAGUGUGAGCGUUGCCCUAGUCCUAGAGGUCCUUGGGAACUCUAACACACUAAGAUACCCCCCCCCCCCCCCCCCCCCCCCCCCCCC